UUUAUUGAGAGUUUGAUCCUGGCUCAGGAUGAACGCUGGCGGCGUGCUUAACACAUGCAAGUCGAACGGAGGACCC
Molecule: ribosomal RNA, 76 nt
Filed under: Bacillota bacterium
Lineage: Bacteria; Bacillati; Bacillota
Description: partial 16S ribosomal RNA
Rfam family: Bacterial small subunit ribosomal RNA
Source: RNAcentral